This 499-nucleotide ribosomal RNA is filed under the name uncultured bacterium. RNAcentral describes it as "bacterial SSU rRNA". It matches the Rfam family "Bacterial small subunit ribosomal RNA", at positions 28 to 533 of the family's 1533-position model. The record is from RNAcentral.
GACGAACGCUGGCGGCGUGCCUAACACAUGCAAGUCGAGCGGGGUUGAAGCGAGGGGUAACUCGAGUUUCUACCUAGCGGCGGACGGGUGAGUAACGCGUGGGCAACCUGCCUCAAGGACUGGGAUAACAGCUCGAAAGGGCUGCUAAUACCGGAUAAGCCUAUGGCCUCGCAUGGGGCCAUGAGCAAAGGGGAAACCCGCCUUGAGAUGGGCCCGCGUCCCAUCAGCUAGUUGGUGAGGUGAAGGCUCACCAAGGCGACGACGGGUAGCCGGCCUGAGAGGGUGACCGGCCACACUGGGACUGAGACACGGCCCAGACUCCUACGGGGGCAGCAGUGGGGAAUCUUGCACAAUGGGCGAAAGCCUGAUGCAGCGACGCCGCGUGAGCGAAGAAGGCCUUCGGUUGUAAGCUCUGUCUGGAGGGACGGAAACAAAUAGACGGUACCUCCGGAGGAAGCCACGGCUAACUACGUGCCAGCAGCGCGGUAAACGUAGCGUG